UGCACUUUAAACACUCCAAAUUUUGGUUCUCUAGCUAUUUAACAUAUUUAGCUAGCAAAACAAAAUUUUUUGCCUUUAUGCGAUUUAGUCCUUUUUCGCAAUUAAGCAUGAAAUUACUAAAAUUAUUUCACCAAAACAUUCAUGCACUAAUAUAAUCAUGCUAUAACACAUAAAAUAUCAUUAAAAAUAAUUUCUCCGGCCCAGAAUAGUGGUUUCAAAUACACUAUUCUGACUAGGCCAAAAAUCAGGCUGCUACAC
Molecule: long non-coding RNA, 258 nt
Filed under: Gossypium barbadense (sea-island cotton)
Lineage: Eukaryota; Viridiplantae; Streptophyta; Magnoliopsida; Malvales; Malvaceae
Description: long non-coding RNA (GBAR_LNC002156)
Source: RNAcentral